This is a non-coding RNA of Oryctolagus cuniculus (rabbit), 5008 nucleotides long. Lineage: Eukaryota; Metazoa; Chordata; Mammalia; Lagomorpha; Leporidae. The record is from RefSeq and is a predicted model, not a curated record.
CUUCCACCUGCUGGUCUCCGUUCUGACUCUCAGGGGCGCUGGAGAGCCAUCCCGCCUGCUCUGGGGGGUGGGGUCUUGGUGCCAGAGGCGUGGAGAACCUCUCCGUGGGGCUCUUCACACUGAGCCAUUGCUCAGAUAUGCUGCUGGCCUGACAGUUUGCCCCACACAGGUCUAAGAAUGCACAGAUGAAUGCGCGUGUCCCCCAAGCCGCAGAUGUUCCGAGAACUCACAGUGCGGGCCACAGGCUCACGGGGAGGGGAGGGAGCGGUGUGGGUGGGGCUGAGGAGUCAUCCAGGAGAAGUGACCGGAACUAAAGCUGGCUGAGCAAGCGGGCGGCCGCCCCAGCACAUGGCAGAAGCACUUCUGCUAGGAACGGCGAUUUGUUUUGCCUGGAGAGGUUCCUCGCGCACAAACAGGUCUUCUCCUCCUUGGAAGUGGAGCAGAAAUCUCACCCGAGGAUGCUGAAAUGUGGACGGGCGUUUGCCCUGGAGAACCAGGGGCAGCAUUUCCGGCUGUGGGAAGAAGGCUUGCACCGGUGCGCGUGGGGAGCCGCGAGCACGCACGAGGUGCAGGGGCCGCCGUGUGCAGCGGGGCCACGGAAGCCGCUGGUAUUCGUCCUUUCUCCUGACCCGAGCCCUUGCUUCCAUAGUGCUGCCCAGACCCCUGCAAAGUUGACUCAGGAAUUCCAAGCAAAUGGCCACAGCUCAGGGCUCCUCUCCAGGCUUCUAUCCAAGGUGACCUGGUGCAUGCUGUGUGUGCACCUGGGUGGACUUCCCAGAUGGAGCCAGUCAUGGACCACCUGUCCAGCGGCCUCAGCCUGGCCUCCUGUGGACUUCCUCAUGGAGUGAUGGCAGGCCCCCAGUGCUCACCUGUCUCCAGGGUCAAGUCCAGCACUAGGAGAACAACUGCCCCUCCCCCUGCCCUCUUCCGAUGAGGAUCGACUGAGACGUAGUCAACAUGGAGCCCCUGGGUCUAUGCCUUGGAGGCCAAAGAUGGAAACCUAAGCUUCAACCUCCAGCUGUCAAUCAUUCACCACGAACGUCUCAGAAGAAGCCGACCCAAACGGAAGGUUGCAGUGAGGCCCGGAGUCUCCACAUCAUGACAUGAAAAUGUCCAGGGUCAGGCAUGUGGCCCAGCAGCACCACAGGGCUCCUGAAACCCGAGGACUGAUGAUGCCCGUCCCUGCACCCUGAGGGGCCCGCUCCCACUCUGGCUUGGCGGAGAGACAAGCUUACACAUCACUGGGGUUUGACUGUGGCUGUGAGACCACCACUGAAGCAUUGGAAUCCCCAACCACAACCACAGACCCAUCUCUCUGGGACAGAGCCAUGGCUUCCAGGUCAAUUCCGCUGGUCCGGGGAACCACUGGGAAGUCCCAUCCUGCAGUGGUUCCUCUUCUGGGAGGUCUCAUCCUGCACGGAACAGGAGAUUCCAGGCUGGAAGGCUGGCCAGGCCAUUGGCGAGCACCAGCGUGCCUCCCUGUUGCUCAUUGGAGGAAAUGAGGCAAGAAAGGGGCGGGACUUAGCUAAGAUCUGCUGGAGGGGGUGGUAGAGUUAGAAUGACAUCUAGGCCUCCCAGUGCAAUCCUGUCCACAGCUCAUACAGACCCUCACAAGUUAAAGAAGGAUCGCCAGUCUCUGGGCACCCAGCCUGAGCGUGAUGGGUAGGAAGCUGCUUUAUUCUCUCUAGUUCAUCCAACACCAGUAUUUUCUGAGCACCAUAUCGUCACUAGCAUUUACAGCGCUUGCUGUUGAUGGCUAACAAGCCAUCCCCAAUUCAGUGGCCAGGAACCAGAGUCUCCACAAGUCCAGGGCCCCAGGGGUGCGUAGUCACCUGGGCAGGCUCAGCUGGUCUGGGCUGGGAUUUGUGUUCCACGAGCCAGAGGCCGGAGGCUACAAGAGGAUCACGUGUCUGGCAGUGGGCUUGCUAAGGGCUGACAACAUGAAGGUAACUGGGCCUCACGUCUCUCCUCCUCCACUGGGCUAGCCCAGGCUUACUCGUGCGGCACAGGAAAGGUUCUGAGAGAAUGAGUGGAACCAUUCCAAGACUCUGACCUGGAUUCAAAGCUCCAUGGCCCCUUCUGCUGUGGCAAGUCCACAUGUGGCCAGCCAGACUCCAGCAGUGGGACACAGUCCCAAUUCUUCGCUACAAGAUCUACAACAUUGCCGUGCAAAGGGGGCACAGAUGCAGGAGGCCUGGACGAAUGAGGCUAUGUCUGCAACUGACCACGGGGAGAUUUCAAAAUCUUUGGCUUCUAUGUCUGGUUCUUCAGGGCCGUGUGAGUGGCUUUGCAAAGUAAAGUAUGUCAAAGCCGCUGUGUGAUUCUCCACACUCCCUUCUUUCUGCUGCAGAAAGUGGAAAGUCAAGGCCGACUGUCCCAGUCUGAGUCCCUCAGUGACAACAGUGCUCGGGCUCCAAGCCAGUCCCUUGCUCACCUGUGAGGCAGAGGCAGUAAAAAGCAGAAAGAAAUCAGUGCUUAGAACCCCUGAGACCCAGGCAUGCUUGUUCCUGGGGUCUAGCCUCUUUCAUCCCUACUGACACCAGCCUUGACCAUGCCCCAGGCAUGACCCACUGGGGACCAGGUGAAUAAAAAAGAAUCCGUGCCUUUGAUGAGUCCCCAGUCUUGUGCGAGAAACCGAGGAAUCAAAGAAAUGUAUGUGUAAAUCAUGGUGACGUGGGCAGUGGUCUCUCCUGCCGUCUCAAGAGAUGGACCGGGACUCAGGAAGCGAAGCCAAAGCGAGAUGUUACUAUCGGUGUUGCAAGAUGUGCCUGACCAGCAGGCACCCCUGAGCAAUGACAGCCAGCAAUGUGUGUCCUAGCAGGAGGUCGCUCCCCAGGCUCCUCCCUGGCUGAGUGCUACGGGGCACACAGCCUUCCCCAGGUGAGGACUACGGGACACACAGCCUUCCCCAGGUGAGGACUACGGGACACACUCAACCUUCCCCAGGUGAGGACUACGGGGCCCACAGUCUUCCCCAGGUGAGGACUACGGGGCACACAGCCUUCCCCAGGUGAGGACUACGGGACACACAGCCUUCCCCAGGUGAGGACUACGGGGCACACAGCCUUCCCCAGGUGAGAACUACGGGACACAGCCUUCCCCAGGUGAGGAUUACGGGGCACAGCCUUCCCCAGGUGAGGACUACGGGACACACAGCCUUCCCCAGGUGAGGACUACGGGACACAGCCUUCCCCAGGUGAGGACUACGGGGCACAGCCUUCCCCAGGUGAGGACUACGGGACACACAGCCUUCCCCAGCUGAGGACUACGGGACACAGCCUUCCCCAGGUGAGGACUACGGGGCACACAGCCUUCCCCAGGUGAGAACUACGGGACACAGCCUUCCCCAGGUGAGGACUACGGGGCACAGCCUUCCCCAGGUGAGGACUACGGGGCACAGCCUUCCCCAGGUGAGGACUACGGGACACAGCCUUCCCCAGGUGAGGACUACGGGACACACAGCCUUCCCCAGGUGAGGACUGCGGGGAGCACAGCCUUCCCCAGGUGAGGACUAUAGAGCACAGCCUUCCCCAGGUGAGGACUACGGGACACACAGCCUUCCCCAGGUGAGGACUACGGGACACAGCCUUCCCCAAGUGAGGACUGCGGGGAGCACAGCCCUCCUCAGGUGAGGACUAUGGGGACACACAGCCUUCCCCAGGUGAGGACUACGGGACACAGCCUUCCCCAGGUGAGGACUACGGGACACACCUUCCCCAGGUGAGGACUACGGGACACACAGCCUUCCCCAGGUGAGGACUACGGGCACACAGCCUUCCUAGGUGCAGCCCACGUUCCCUAGUUAGCUUCCUCGUUCCUCUCUGUGCCUUAAUAUCCUCUUGUGAGUUGGCUGCUCCAAGACAGCCUGUUUGCCUGCUGAGUUUUCUACAUUUGCAAGUCAGGUAUAGCAGUUUUCCAUGCUGUGUUGAAGAUGGACCGCCAUUUUCUUACAGUUCCCACUGUGAAGGAAAGGAUUCAGACUGACAAGGGAGAGAUGAAUGACAGGAGUCGAGGAAGCGAGGAGCCAACUUGGAUGACACGGGGUCCAGAAAAGCCUCUCUGGGGGACCGGCGCUGUGGCGUAGCAGGUAAAGCUGCUGCCUGCUGUGCCGCCAUCCUAUGUAGGUGCUGGUUCGAGUUCUGGCUGCUCCACUUCGGAUCCAGCUCCCUGCUAAUGUGCUUGCACCCAGAUGACCACAGCCUGCUGGCUCGCGGUGGCUGAAAGCUUAGCUCACGUCUGGAGCCCAGGAGCCCAGGAGCCCAGAACCCACGUGGGCAGUCAGUGCCUCCUGGGGCUCUGAGGAGCCUGCCCUCCACCCCCCACUUCACGCCCAGUGCCAGGUGGCCUCACAGCCAACGGCUCCGGUCUCUGCUGGGUCUCCUUCUCUCUGCCCCCAGCUCCCUCUGCCCCCUGAAGAUGAGGGCGCCAGCACCGGAACCCCCAUCCCAGUGAUCUAGCCGCAUGCUGGCAUAGGUGCCACCUCUUCUGCGCAUCUGCCUUCUGUCAGCUCAUCACAGCACCCUCAGAGGGGAUGGGGGGCUCUAGCUGCCCCCACGUCUGCCCAGGCACAGUCCUCGAAGGGCCAGGACUCUGAGACGAUGCACCUGUAGGAAGCUCCAAACCCCAGCCUGUCCGCUCUCGCCAGCAGACAAGGCUGCUGGACUCAGGGGAGAGAGAACAGAGCCCCCAGCCUGGAGACUCCGACCGGCGUCUGGGCGGGUUCUAGCCCUCGACCUCUGCCUGGAAUUCUCCCCAUGCCAAAGUUCUCAUUUUCCUGUUGGGCAGGCGGGGGCCGUCUGCUGAACAUCGCUCUGCCGGUUUGGGAAUAAAACCAUAAAAACAGUGUGUUACGCAGACGCUUGUUUUGCGCAAAGGCCGAGGUCUCCUGGGGCCGAGCUCUCGCCGGGCGCCGCGGAGCUGUUGAUUCUGCGCGAGAAGCGCUUGUUUGGAAAUUCAGGCCCCUGCCAGCUAACGGGGAGCAGAGACGUUCUGGAGCAGCGAUGUUCUG